GUUCUUUCUUUACAAACUUCUCACCUCUCAGACAGGCUGGAAAGGUAGAUACUGUCUUCCAUGAUUAAUCCUGAGACCCUUAGUGCAAGGGGCUCUAAGUAAAACCAAUCCUUGCCGCCCCAGGCCAGUUUUGUGCUGUCCACUGGAUACUGGCCAACUGUGCCACAGAGCUACACAGGAAGGAAUUCAGUGUAUGGUCAUGGUACUCAGGAAAAGCAAAUGACACUUUCCCCACUUUCUUCUGAGACUAGCUGCCACCUUCCGGGGACUCGAAGUUUGCUCUGGAAAGGACAGACUUUAUUUCCCUCCUUGAGGCUAGUGUAAACCACCAAGAAACACUCCAAGGGUGAAUUUAGGACCUUUAGGAGUUACCCUAUGGUAGGUAAGGUUGUCUCUGUGCAAAAUGGGGCGAUACAAAAAGAAACCCUUAGGCAGAAAGGUAGAGAAGCAACAAGGGUUAGAAAACUCAGUUCAGAGGACUAUUGAAUAGUUGGCCUUGAUGAGUGGGCAGGCAGUGGGGCAAGGGACUCUUGGGGUCUGUUCUGGAAGACGUGUGGGAAGGCAGCUCAAGGAGGAAAAGCCAUGGCAAAGAAACAAACGCCACUAUGUGUAGGGAGUUGCAACGUGCCGCGCCUCAAAGAUGGCGCUGGUUUCCGCCUUCCACCCUCCCAACGGUGAGCGCUCCUUGUAGUAAACAUGUCCUUAUUUGGCUAUGCCUGCUUGGCCUGGUCACUUCCGCAUAGUGACAGCCUAUCUGCAUGACCCACAUGGCUUGCUGGGAUUGGCCAGCGCUAGCUAUUUAAGUGUGGUGCGGGGGUUCCCCGGGGUCAGAAGAUUGUAUCAAGUUUCCUGAGUAAAACUGCUUGAAGAAG
Molecule: long non-coding RNA, 872 nt
Filed under: Rattus norvegicus (Norway rat)
Lineage: Eukaryota; Metazoa; Chordata; Mammalia; Rodentia; Muridae
Description: long non-coding RNA NONRATT011648
Source: RNAcentral